RNAcentral lists this ribosomal RNA (216 nucleotides) under uncultured bacterium. RNAcentral's name for it is "partial 16S ribosomal RNA". It matches the Rfam family "Bacterial small subunit ribosomal RNA", at positions 107 to 334 of the family's 1533-position model. The record is from RNAcentral.
UGAGUAACGCGUAGGAACCUGUCGCAUAGUGGGGGAUAACGCUGGGAAACCGGCGCUAAUACCGCAUGAGGUCAGAGAUGAAGAAAGCGAGUAAUCGCGCUAUGUGAGGGGCCUGCGUCCGAUUAGCUAGUUGGUGGGGUAAAGGCCUACCAAGGCGACGAUCGGUAGCUGGUCUGAGAGGAUGAUCAGCCACACUGGGACUGAGACACGGCCCAG